AGCAGCCGCGGUAAUUCCAGCUCCAAUAGCGUAUAUUAAAGUUGUUGCAGUUAAAAGCUCGUAGUUGAAUUUCGGGAUUGACGUGAUGGUCGUGCCUUACGGGGUAUGAACUGUUGCUGUUGAUUUCUCACCUUCUGGAGAAACUUGAUGUCCUUAAUUGGGUGUCUUGCGGAUCCAGGACCUUUACCUUGAAAAAUUGAGUGUUUAAAGCAGGCAUUUUGCUCGAAUACAUUAGCAUGGAAUAAUAGAAUAGGACGGCAUGGUUCUAUUUUGUUGGUUUCUAGGAUCACCGUAAUGAUUAAUAGGGAUAGUUGGGGGCAUUAGUAUUCAAUUGUCAGAGGUGAAAUUCUUGGAUUUAUUGAAGACUAACUACUGCGAAAGCAUUUGCCAAGGAUGUUUUCAUUAAUCAAAGAACGAAAGUUAGGGGAUCGAAGACGAUCAGAUACCGUCGUAGUCUUAACCAUAAACUAUAGACCGACUAGGAAUCAGACGAUGUUUAAUUUUUAAUGUACUCGUUUGG
Molecule: unclassified non-coding RNA, 520 nt
Filed under: uncultured Entrophospora
Lineage: Eukaryota; Fungi; Glomeromycota; Glomeromycetes; Entrophosporales; Entrophosporaceae
Description: SSU rRNA
Rfam family: Eukaryotic small subunit ribosomal RNA
Source: RNAcentral